GCCUCGGUAGCUCAGCCUGGUAGAGCGGCAGUUUCGUAAACUGCAGGUCGGGGGUUCGAUCCCCUCCCGGGGCU
This 74-nucleotide transfer RNA is filed under the name archaeon. RNAcentral describes it as "tRNA-Thr". It matches the Rfam family "tRNA". From Rfam's summary of the family: Transfer RNA (tRNA) molecules are approximately 80 nucleotides in length. Their secondary structure includes four short double-helical elements and three loops (D, anti-codon, and T loops). Further hydrogen bonds mediate the characteristic L-shaped molecular structure. tRNAs have two regions of fundamental functional importance: the anti-codon, which is responsible for specific mRNA codon recognition, and the 3' end, to which the tRNAs corresponding amino acid is attached (by aminoacyl-tRNA synthetases). tRNAs cope with the degeneracy of the genetic code in two manners: having more than one tRNA (with a specific anti-codon) for a particular amino acid; and 'wobble' base-pairing, i.e. permitting non-standard base-pairing at the 3rd anti-codon position. The record is from RNAcentral. RNAcentral also lists the same sequence under 2 other names.